UACGUAGGGUGCGAGCGUUGUCCGGAAUUACUGGGCGUAAAGAGCUCGUAGGCGGCUUGUCGCGUUGUCCGUGAAAAUUUACAGCUCAACUGUGAACUUGCGGGCGAUACGGGCAGGCUAGAGUACUGCAGGGGAGACUGGAAUUCCUGGUGUAGCGGUGAAAUGCGCAGAUAUCAGGAGGAACACCGGUGGCGAAGGCGGGUCUCUGGGCAGUAACUGACGCUGAGGAGCGAAAGCGUGGGGAGCGAACAGGAUUAGAAACCCUGUAGUCC
Molecule: ribosomal RNA, 272 nt
Filed under: uncultured prokaryote
Description: partial 16S ribosomal RNA
Rfam family: Bacterial small subunit ribosomal RNA
Source: RNAcentral